Pezoporus occidentalis (night parrot) is the source of this 1001-nucleotide long non-coding RNA. RefSeq lists it as uncharacterized. The record is from RefSeq and is a predicted model, not a curated record. The transcript has 4 exons. Lineage: Eukaryota; Metazoa; Chordata; Aves; Psittaciformes; Psittacidae.
GGAUGCUGCAAUUCUUCAUUCUAGAAACAUGCUGACCACAUGAAAUCCAGGGACUGAGGGGGAUGAUUUAAAGCUAUUCACUGAGCAAAGAGCUGCUUUCAGCCAGCCCCAAAAAAGGAUUAGUACAAGAGUGAAGGCUGGACUCUGACCUCCUUAGAGGCUAGGUGCCUGAGGGAGGCAUAUGAGGUGACACACAGCAGGGCAAGAUUCAUUGAACCAGAAGGGGAGGUGUUAAGGAAGCUGACUCCACUUUUCUCAGCUAUGGUACACAGCUGAGAGCAGGGCUGCUUUUCUCUCCUGGGAUGUGUGGUGUUUCUUAUUGUCUGUCAAGGCAGAACUUGUGGAUCUUGUGUACUGGUCUAACAAGGCAUUAGCAAGGAAGCUUAUUUCACUGAAGCUCUCCUUUGAAGAAGAUGCCUGAACUGCACCUGAAUGGGUCAGUCAAAAGUACUUUCAUUUUUUGAAAAAAAAAACAUUUCUGCAACAACAAAAUCUAUUUGAGAGUUGAACUUGUACUGUUACUUCUACAGCAUCCUUGUUAUUUCAUGGUAAAGUUAAAGUUCCACCAAAUUUACUCCCUGUAAUAGUGACUUACUUUACAAAGUAAUGAAUAAAACAUUAUGCAAUUCCUACAAACAUCUGGUUUCAAUGUAGAAUGUCUUAAUUCAAUAGAAAUUGAAAGUUUCCACAUAAGACUUGGGAAAAGGUAUCCUAUUUAGGAUGGAGCAAUCCAUAGUAUCACAAAUCCAUCUUCAUUGUGAGAAAAAGUUCCUCAAGACUGUCGUGCUGAUUGAACUGUAUCUUAGCCUUUAUCUUUCGUCACAAUAAAAUUUGAUAGUCAAUAUACAUUAGCUGUUUUCCUUCUGUCUUAUUAUAAAUCUGAAUUAAAAUCUCAAAUCCUGCUCCAGUAUCCUGCCUUAUUGUAGCCAUGAAAUUUAGCCAAUAAUGUUCUAAUUCAGGGAAGCACUUAAUGGUUACAUUUAAAAGUAAUUUUGUUCUUU